Cebus imitator (Panamanian white-faced capuchin) is the source of this 3017-nucleotide RNA transcript. It is a transcript of the gene named mitochondrial transcription termination factor 1, with no coding region annotated. The record is from RefSeq and is a predicted model, not a curated record. The transcript is spliced from 14 exons. NCBI's taxonomy places the organism in Eukaryota, Metazoa, Chordata, Mammalia, Primates, Cebidae.
GCCCUACCGUCGGGCUACGAAGGGCUGAAGUACCGCCCCGAGAGGGCGCAGGACCCAUGACGUCACCUCUGCGCGCGACCCGAGGACGGAAGUUACUCUGCUCCACUUCCGCUCCACUUAGCCACUCCGGACGCCAGAGGCGGAAGUAAAAGCCAUAUACAGCGGAGACAGUUGUUCUCCAGCCUUUAUGGAGGGAUGCAGAGCCUUUCCUUAAGACAAACAAGGUUUUGACAAAACCUAAAGUAUGAAGUACUUUGCAGAAGACCUUUUUGGGUUGAAUCUAUUUGAGGAUAUUUGAGAUUCUUGUAUUUGGAUGUCUAUAUCUCUUCAAGACCUGCGUUGGCUGAGGGAGCAACUUUUGAAGUAAAUGACGAUGCGAGAUUUGGAAGAAUUCUAGAGGCAUGUGUUUUGGGAGCAGCAUGGAUGAGAAUCAGAGUGGAUCUGCAGACUGCAGCAUAUUACAACCCCCUCACUGGAGAGAUGAUGCAAACAAAGACAUGCAGGUGGACAUGGAAAAUCGGGUGGAUGGGCUGCAAGCUGCCUAGGCCAGAGGAAAUUUUGAAUGAACUCAGCUUUCAGUGACCAGGAGUGGAGACAUAAAAAGAGCUUUUCAGCCUCUCUGGUUACAGAGAUAAGUACAAAAGGGAGUUGUGAAAAGAAAUCUGGGAAUUUCAUCUUGCUUGGUGGAGUACUCUCAGCACAGCUGGCUCAUGGUCCUUCUGAGGUGACCAAGAAUGUGUGAGUAUAAGUGGUCAGUAGGAUGGCAGAGAACUGACUUCAGGCCUCCUUCUGAAGACAGUCAAUCUCCAAAGAACAUUACUGAAUGGAAGCAUAAUCUCUCCACACCUCAGCAAUAAGAGAUUGUGCCAGUCCGUGACACACAAAGUUGCAGAGUGCUCCUCCAAGCAUAGCACCAGCCCUCAGUGAUUUCUUACAGAUAUUUACUUUCACACAUGGCAUAUAGAACAUUAAAAGGGUUUUGAAAAAUCCCUCAGUUUUCAACUUCUGAAGGAUUAUUAACUUCAAAGUCUGAAGAAAUGUCGCCCUUCUAUCUUUGGAAAUGCCAGGAGCCUUUGCAUAUCCUUACCACAGGACCAAGCAACCCCCAGCAGAGAAGAACGAUUACUGCCUCGGUGGCAAGAGGAUGGCUUUUGAUCUCUUAACAUAUUGGAAAUUACUUAAAGUGCCUUGGUGAUUCAUACAAUUAUCUGGGAUCUUUUGAUUAACAGAGAAAAAGUCAUAAGAUCAGCAAAAAGAGAAACUAGAUUGUUGCCUCAACUCAACAUAUUAAGUAAUUACCUGACAUCUGCAUAAGACCACCUCUGGCACCUGGCUACACAAGCUAAAAUGGUUAAUUCACUAAUUACUUAGCACAGAACACAAAAGCCCUGUAAUUUCACCUCAGCGUUUCCAGUCUCAAUGGGCAGAUUUUGGCUGGCGCCCGAGAUCCAGGCCCUGUCUCCAACAGGCCCAAUGGCAAGGAAAACUCAUUAAGAAACCACACACGGAUGGAAUACUUGCUUAGAGACACAGGAGUAGCCUAGAACCUAAGAAUCUGUGCUUCCUUCUACAGUUGUCUUUGGAAGAACAAUAGACAUUCAAUGCAGACCAAAGAUCACUCUCUGAAGAUAAAGAAACCAGAGCUGCAUGAGGUUAAAAGACUUGAUCAAGGCCACAGAGCUAGGACACGGCAGAGCCAGGAUUUGAACUGCCACAUCUGGAUGAUUCUGAAGUCGACAUUCUUUGCAUGCCUUCAGAGUCGGUCUCAUGUGGAAGUGUUGUAUGAGAAAUCCACAUAGGAGGAACCCAGGAAAACCAUGCAGGGAAGCUCUGUUUGAGGUUGUUGCUAAAAAAAAUUCCCAGCCCUAGCUCACAAGAAACAGGAUAGAAAGAAUCUUCAAGUCACUGCCAAGGCCAAUUUCAGGAUGGAUAAAGAGAACAUUUUCCUGGUGUCAGUGCCUUGGAUCUUCUGCCACUGAAAAGGUCAUGGGCAAGGCUAGGUAGUUCUCAGGGUUGUGAAAAUCAAGCAAACUACUAGAAAUAAAUAUGUUUUAUAGAUUAUGAAACGUUUCACAAAUGCAAGGGAGUAUUUGUGUCAGAGGCUGGAGGGCCUAAGAUUCACCUCCCCUCCUUUCCAUGCUCUGAUUGAUAGAGAUAGCAGGCCAAAGGGAACCAGUAUAGAUCUUGCAAUGGGUAGAGAAAAUACCCACAUCCCUCAAAAUGCAGAGUCUACUAAUGUCUGGAUUAGAGGACACAGCUUGGAACUGAGGCCAGCAUUAAAUCUUUCUAAUACGCUCCUGAAUCCAAACCAUAUUAUCUCCCUUACAGGUUGACUCCAUCUGAGAAGCAGGCUCCAAAUUCAUUUAUCCGGCUAGCUGUGGGCCUGAGAGUGGAAAGGAGCUGACGAGCUGUGGUACCCAGGCUGCUCACAGCUACAACCAUGACUCAUGCACUACAGAAGCCCUGAUGAGUCAGCCUACUCUUUCUCCUACUGGGAGGAGGGAUGUAGAUGAGUGAAGAGAGAAGCCCCCAACAAUACCCAAGGGAAGGGAGGGCAGAAUGCUAAUGGAAAUGGGGUCAGCGGGGGUAAAUUUCUCUCUUUCUCAAUACUUCCUGUUUAGCGGGGACUAUGAUAUCAUAGUUUAAAUUUCCUGUGCAAAGCAAAGAAACUCAUAAUUAUUUUGGGUAACUGACUUCUCUGUUUCAUCCUGUUCUUUCAGUUACCCUCCUUAUAUUUGGUUCAGUGUGAGUAGUUAGGAACUGUGUUGUAAGCAAAAGCCCAAGUUCAGGAUCAAGGGUAAUAGAGGAGAUCAAGAAGCUCCUGAAGAAUGAGUUAAAUGCAAGUGAAGAAUGCAUUUCAACAAGUUAUUUUUUGGUGAGUUAUGCUUUCUCAAUACAUAUCUGUGUACAGUAACAAAAUAUACGUAGAGUUAUUUCAAAAUCUGAUUCUUGAAAUUCAUGUUAAAAAUAAUUUUGUUAUGGAUUUAAAUUUAAUAGCUGUAACCCCCUUUUCCUAU